AUGGUCACUAUCACACAGCUCCUCCAACAUACAGUCUGCUAUGGUCACUAUCAGACAGCUCCUCCAACAUACAGUCUGCUAUGUUCACUAUCUCACAGCUCCUCCAACAUACAGUCUGCUAUGGUCACUAUCACACAGCUCCUCCAACAUACAGUCUGCUAUGGUCACUAUCACACAGCUCCUCCAACAUACAGUCUGCUAUGGUCACUAUCACACAGCUCCUCCAACAUACAGUCUGCUAUGGUCACUAUCUCACAGCUCCUCCAACAUACAGUCUGCUAUGGUCACUAUCAGACAGCUCCUCCAACAUACAGUCUGCUAUGGUCACUAUCUCACAGCUCCUCCAACAUACAGUCUGCUAUGGUCACUAUCACACAGCUCCUCCAACAUACAGUCUGCUAUGGUCACUAUCAGACAGCUCCUCAACAUACAGUCUGCUAUGGUCACUAUCUCACAGCUCCUCCAACACAGUCUGCUAUGGUCCCACAGGCUUUCAUUAGACUGACCUCCCUGGCCAGCAGUUUCAGUGUCCUUCGCCGUGUUACUAGAUAAAGAAAAGCAAUUUGUUGUUAAUCUACCUUGACACUUACUGCACUGCUGGAGCUAGAAACAUAAGCAUUUCGCUGCACCUGCUGUAACAUCUGCCAAUCUCGUAAAACUGACUAUCCUACCGAUCCUUGACUUUGGCGAUGUCAUUUACAAAAUAGCCUCCAACACUCUACUCAGCAAACUGGAUGUAGUCUAUCACAGUGCCAUCCGUUUUGUCACCAAAGCCCCAUAUACUACCCACCACUGCGACCUGUAUGCUCUCGUUGGCUGGCCCUCACUACAUAUCCGUCGCCAAACCCACUGGCUCCAGGUCAUCUAUAAGUCUUUGCUAGGUAAAGCCAUGCCUUAUCUCAGCUCACUGGUCACCAUAGCAAAACCCACCUGUAGCAUGCACUCCAGCAGGUAUAUUUCACUGGUCAUCCCCAAAGCCAACAAUUCCUUUGGCCACCUUUCCUUCCAGUUCUCUGCUGCCAAUGACUGGAACGAAUUGCAAAAAUCUCUGAAGCUGGAGUUUUAUAUAUCCCUCUCUAACUUUAAGCAUCAGCUUUCAGAGCAGCUUACCAAUCACUGUACCUGUAUACAGCCAAUCUGUAAAUAGCCCACCCAACUACCUCAUCCCCAUAUUGUUAUUUAUCCUCUUUUUCACCCCAGUAUCUCUACUUGCACAUCAUCAUCUAUCACUCCAGUGUUAUUGCUAAAUUGUAAUUAUUUCGCCUCUAUGGCCUCCUUAUUGCCUUACCUCCCUACUGUUAUACAUUUGCACACACUGUAUAUAGAUUUUUCUAUUGUGUUAUUGACUGUACGUUUGUUUAUAUGUAACUCUGUGUUGUUGUUUUUGUCGCACUGCUUUGCUUUAUCUUGGCCAGGUCGCAGUUGUAAAUGAGAACUUGUUCUCAACUGGCCACCUGGUUAAAUAAAGGUGAAAUAAAAAAAAUAAUAAUCUGUGUACGCAACCAACAAACUUUGAUUUCAUUUUGAUUUGGGAAGAAGUGGAGGGCGCUCAACCAACACGAGUCGAGGUGCAACCAGAAAAUGUGAUAAUUGAAAAGGCGUAAUACUCGCUCACCAUUACAAACUCAUUGUUUUAUUUAAGCAAAAGUUAAAAGAUUUAGAUUGAAC
Long non-coding RNA from Salmo trutta (river trout), 1668 nucleotides. Lineage: Eukaryota; Metazoa; Chordata; Actinopteri; Salmoniformes; Salmonidae. The record is from Ensembl.